GAUGAAUGCUGGCGGCGUGCCUAAUACAUGCAAGUCGAGCGAACGGACGAGAAGCUUGCUUCUCUGAUGUUAGCGGCGGACGGGUGAGUAACACGUGGAUAACCUACCUAUAAGACUGGGAUAACUUCGGGAAACCGGAGCUAAUACCGGAUAAUAUUUUGAACCGCAUGGUUCAAAAGUGAAAGACGGUCUUGCUGUCACUUAUAGAUGGAUCCGCGCUGCAUUAGCUAGUUGGUAAGGUAACGGCUUACCAAGGCAACGAUGCAUAGCCGACCUGAGAGGGUGAUCGGCCACACUGGAACUGAGACACGGUCCAGACUCCUACGGGAGGCAGCAGUAGGGAAUCUUCCGCAAUGGGCGAAAGCCUGACGGAGCAACGCCGCGUGAGUGAUGAAGGUCUUCGGAUCGUAAAACUCUGUUAUUAGGGAAGAACAUAUGUGUAAGUAACUGUGCACAUCCUGACGGUACCUAAUCAGAAAGCCACGGCUAACUACGUG
This 497-nucleotide ribosomal RNA is filed under the name uncultured bacterium. RNAcentral's name for it is "partial 16S ribosomal RNA". It matches the Rfam family "Bacterial small subunit ribosomal RNA", at positions 28 to 507 of the family's 1533-position model. The record is from RNAcentral.